UAGGGAUGUGUCACAAACACUUUCAUACCUCAUACGCUUGGAAGAAGAUGCUUGCCCUGUCAUUUGAAGUUAUAUUCCAUACACAUUAAAUAGCUCAAACUGCCACUUUUUUGUUGAGCUUAAGUUCAGAAUGAACUUCUGCACAACUUAAAAAGAAGUUAUAGUGAAUACCACUGUUCUUCAACAAAUAACCAAAGUAAACUCAAAAGUGAGAAUCAUCAACUCUCCCUGUUGCAACCAAAAAGAAGGGAAAAAAAGACAAACAAGUAGGAAAAGAACAAAAGGACUCUUUAGGUAGAUCUCUAGAACUUCAGACUGUAAUUUCAGAGCAUUACUAGGAAAUUGAAUAAGGAUUUUUUUUUUUGUCCGAGUUUAAGUAAAAGAGGUAACAUUCUUCAUUUAAAAUGCUUUAAGAAUGCUUGCUCUAGGUGCAAGCCACCUAGGUGCAAACUCCAUGUAAAAAUACAACUACAUUUAGUAUCUGUGGUUGGCCCCCAGGUAGACAAUGACACGAUUUUCAUACACCUUCUUCAUAGUUUUCUCAAUUUGCUUCAAAAAUACUUGUGGAAUUCUCCCACAUAAAGUGUGCACUGUAUCCAGGAACUUAGAUUGAAGAGGAUAGUACAAAGACUGGAAGAGAUUGUCUUCAAAUGGAAAAUCACGUAUCACUUCAUAGAGUGCCUUGAAUGUAGGCUGCUUGUCAUCAUGGUAGACACCUCUAUUUCCAUGCAGAAUAGAGACACCUUCUUCUUCUGCACCUUUACAGUUACUUCCAUACAUACAGUGGUCAGGUCGGUAGUUCCACUGACAUGGAAACACAUAGAGACACUCUGGGUUAAAGUAAAAAAUAAUAUUUAGUAAAUCCUGGUCUCCCCAUGUGAUGUAAUUUUUGUACUUUUGAUAUAAUGGAUAUAACAUUUCCUCCCAAGUCAAACCACUCGGUAUCAUGCUGUUCCUGAACUGAGUGUUGCGUAUCCGUGUUAAAUUCAUUAGCAUCACUCCAGAAUUGACUCCAGUUGUCCCAUAAUAUGGGUGACGUGCAAAUCGACUAUACCAGCCAAUCUUUGGUAUUUCGUGUUCUGGGGCCAUAGCAGCUAGCUGCGUUGAGUUGAAUUCUUUCAGGAUGUGCCAGAUGUCAUCGAUGGGCCUCAGGAAGAGAACAUCGGUGUCCACAUAAAGGAGAGAGUCCACAUCCUUUAAAAUAACCGGAAGAAAAAGGCGCUGGGCAGCACAUGGUUUGAAUAACUUCUUCCAUUCCUGAGCAUUUCCUACUGAGAAGGUUAUUGGGUAAAUGUUGUACUCAAAUUUCUUUGUAUACGAGGAGGGCCAUUCCUGUAACUUCUUGUUGAAUUCAGGCUUAAGGGCAUCCUCAGAAAAAAUGUGAAAGCAGAGCCUCCUGUUGCUAAAGAGAACUGCUGAUUUCAGCAUGAUGAGCGUCUCUUCCAGCCGGUCCCCACAUGCCACAACUGCCAGAUGCAUGCACUGUAAAGAUGAAGGCUCUUUUGAAUGUUUUUGUUCUCCAGGCUUCCUGGCAGCGGCGAGUCCGCCCCCGGGCGCGCUCCUCCGCGGCGGGCUCCGGCUGAGCCUCGGCUGCCGGCGGCCGAGGGGCGCGGCGGGGCGGGCGGGUGCGGAGGGCGCGGGCGGCGGGCGCGGGGGCGCGGCGGCGCUGCCGG
RNAcentral lists this long non-coding RNA (1673 nucleotides) under Gallus gallus (chicken). Lineage: Eukaryota; Metazoa; Chordata; Aves; Galliformes; Phasianidae. The record is from RNAcentral.